Molecule: ribosomal RNA, 505 nt
Filed under: uncultured bacterium
Lineage: Bacteria
Description: partial 16S ribosomal RNA
Rfam family: Bacterial small subunit ribosomal RNA
Source: RNAcentral
GACGAACGCUGGCGGCGUGCCUAAUACAUGCAAGUCGAACUCACAGUUUAUACCGUAGCUUGCUACACCAUAGACUGUGAGUUGCGAACGGGUGAGUAACGCGUAGGUAACCUGCCUGGUAGCGGGGGAUAACUAUUGGAAACGAUAGCUAAUACCGCAUAAUGUUAAUUAUUGCAUGAUAAUUAAUUGAAAGGUGCAAUUGCACCACUACCAGAUGGACCUGCGUUGUAUUAGCUAGUAGGUGAGGUAACGGCUCACCUAGGCGACGAUACAUAGCCGACCUGAGAGGGUGAUCGGCCACACUGGGACUGAGACACGGCCCAGACUCCUACGGGAGGCAGCAGUAGGGAAUCUUCGGCAAUGGACGAAAGUCUGACCGAGCAACGCCGCGUGAGUGAAGAAGGUUUUCGGAUCGUAAAGCUCUGUUGUAAGAGAAGAACGGGUGUGAGAGUGGAAAGUUCACACUGUGACGGUAUCUUACCAGAAAGGGACGGCUAACUACGUG